AGAGGAGUCCUUAUGAAGAGAGAGGCAGAGGGUCAGAGCCGGAGACCAGCAUGUGAGAACGGAAGCAGAAGCUGAAGUGCUGGGGGGCCACGAGCUGAGGAAUGCAAGGAGCUUGUAGAAGCUGGAAAAGGCUAGGAACGGAUUCUUCUCUAGAGUGUCCAGAAGGAACACAACUCUGCCAUCACCUUGUUUUAAGUCGAGUGAGACUGAUUUUGGCCUACUGACCUCCAAAACUGGCCUGUGAGGAUUCUCAGCCUUCGUUCAGGUUUGGGGAAGAAAGACAACCAGGAGAAGAAAUGUCUAUCAUGGGUGCCCCAUCCCGUGUGCCAGUUCCUUGCCCUCUUGAACGUAAACCAGGAGCAUAUGGAUCCUAUGUGCUAAGAGACUAAGCCCCUCAGUACAUAGUUGUCUAUUAGAGCUGAAAAUCCUUCUGUUUGUGCUAUGUGAGACACCACCACAGCAUGGCUUGAUGAGCACUUCCAUGUCCGCACCCAGGAUAAACCAGUGAAGCCCCGGGCCACCAAAGAAGAGUGUGUGAACUUAAUCGCUUGGCCACGGGGCUGGCCCCUGAAAAAAUUAAUUAUUAAUGUAAGCUUAGAUGUUUAUAUUUAACUAAAAUUAGGUUGUAAUUAUAACAGUAUAUACUUUUUGGACACUAUUCUAAGAUAGCACCAAACAAUACUCAUACUCCACAGUUGACUUUCAUAUCACCAAAAAUGCAAAAAUUUGCAAAAAUGUUCCUGAGUUUCAUCAAGCUAUCCCAGAGUCCUCUCAUGAUUUUUGAUAUGCACAUCUUUCUGUUCUGAAAUGGCCAUUCAUGUUGAUUUUCUCCUUGCUUUGUUAACUGGCCUAAUUCUGCCAGAUUCUCUUUUAUCAAUGGUUUUGCAUGCAUUUCAAAAGCAGUUCUCAUAGUGAAUCCCUCCACACUCCCCAAAAUGUAGUAUUCCAACAUCACUUUCAUCAAUUUCAUGAAAUUCUGCUCCUUUUCCAAGAUGGACAAGUUCAUUUUUUUUUGGAGGAGGAGGAGGAGAUUAGCCCUGAGCUAACAUCUGCUGCCAAUCCUCCUCUUUUUGCUGAGGAAGCUUGGCCCUGAGCCAACAUCUGUGCCCAUCUUCCUCUACUUUAUAUGUGGGACGCCUACCACAGCAUGGCUUGACAAGUGGUGCAUGGGUCCGCACCCGGGAUCCGAACUGGCGAACCCUGGGUCACUGAAGUGCAACGUGUGAACUUAACCACUGCGAUACCAGGCUGCACCCCAAGUUCACUUUUCAACAAAUUCAAAUAGUUCUGUUAGAUGUUUAACAUUAUCCAUGAGAGUGACCACAACGAUUU
Molecule: long non-coding RNA, 1332 nt
Filed under: Equus asinus (donkey)
Lineage: Eukaryota; Metazoa; Chordata; Mammalia; Perissodactyla; Equidae
Description: lncRNA (ENSEASG00005030258.1)
Source: RNAcentral